GUGAGUCAUCGAAUCUUUGAACGCACCUUGCGCCCUUUGGCUAUUCCGAAGGGCAUGCCUGUUUGAGUAUCAUGAACAACUCAACUCUCACGGCUCGCCGCGAUGAGCUUGGACUUGGGGGUUUUGCUGGCAUGCAGCCGGCUCCUCUCAAAUGAAUCAGCUUACCAGUCUUUGGUGGCGUCACGGGUGUGAUAACUAUCUACGCUUGUGGUUUCCCAUCAGGUAACCUUCAGCGAUGGAGGUUCACCGGGGCUUAUAAACAUCUCUCCUCAGUGAGGACAGAUUUUGACCGUUUGAUCUCAAAUCAGGUAGGACUACCCGCUGAACUUAAGCAUAUCAAUAAGCGGAGG
Molecule: ribosomal RNA, 350 nt
Filed under: uncultured Tomentella
Lineage: Eukaryota; Fungi; Basidiomycota; Agaricomycetes; Thelephorales; Thelephoraceae
Description: eukaryotic LSU rRNA
Rfam family: 5.8S ribosomal RNA (bases 1-72)
Source: RNAcentral